UCGAGACUUCGGGUCUAGCGGCGGACGGGUGAGUAACGCGUGGGAACGUGCCCUUCUCUACGGAAUAGCCCCGGGAAACUGGGAGUAAUACCGUAUACGCCCUUUGGGGGAAAGAUUUAUCGGAGAAGGAUCGGCCCGCGUUGGAUUAGGUAGUUGGUGGGGUAAUGGCCCACCAAGCCGACGAUCCAUAGCUGGUUUGAGAGGAUGAUCAGCCACACUGGGACUGAGACACGGCCCAGACUCCUACGGGAGGCAGCAGUGGGGAAUCUUAGACAAUGGGGGCAACCCUGAUCUAGCCAUGCCGCGUGAGUGAUGAAGGCCUUAGGGUUGUAAAGCUCUUUCAGCUGGGAAAGAUUAUGACGGUACCAGCAGAAGAAGCCCCGGUCUAAACUCCGUGCCAGCAGCCGCGGUAAUACGGAAGGGGGCUAGCGUUGUUCGGAAUUACUUGGGCUUAAAGCGCACCGUUUAGGGCCNGGAACUUGGACACACGUCCCGAAGGUUGACAAUCCCCCAGNGGGCUCCAACCCUUUGUGGA
This 535-nucleotide ribosomal RNA is filed under the name Paracoccus haeundaensis. RNAcentral's name for it is "bacterial SSU rRNA". It matches the Rfam family "Bacterial small subunit ribosomal RNA", at positions 78 to 677 of the family's 1533-position model. Lineage: Bacteria; Pseudomonadati; Pseudomonadota; Alphaproteobacteria; Rhodobacterales; Paracoccaceae. The record is from RNAcentral.